GGGUGCAUGGCCGAGAGGUCUAAGGCAACCGCCUGCUAAGCGGUCGUCGGCGUCGAGCCGGCGCGCUGGUUCAAAUCCAGCUGCACCCGCCA
Molecule: transfer RNA, 92 nt
Filed under: Pelomonas sp. Root1237
Lineage: Bacteria; Pseudomonadati; Pseudomonadota; Betaproteobacteria; Burkholderiales; Sphaerotilaceae
Description: tRNA-Ser
Rfam family: tRNA
About the family: Transfer RNA (tRNA) molecules are approximately 80 nucleotides in length. Their secondary structure includes four short double-helical elements and three loops (D, anti-codon, and T loops).
Source: RNAcentral